UGCUAGAUGGUCUAGUGGUAAGAUGCCCGUCUCUCAAUUAUCAACCGGUUUUGGAUAGCUUCCAAACUCGCCUUCGGCAAGCCCCCGAGUUUGAGGUUGAGAACCAACGGGAGACUCCAGUUCGAGUCUGGGUCUGGCCA
This is a transfer RNA of Pseudogymnoascus sp. WSF 3629, 140 nucleotides long. It matches the Rfam family "tRNA". Rfam says of the family: Transfer RNA (tRNA) molecules are approximately 80 nucleotides in length. Their secondary structure includes four short double-helical elements and three loops (D, anti-codon, and T loops). Further hydrogen bonds mediate the characteristic L-shaped molecular structure. tRNAs have two regions of fundamental functional importance: the anti-codon, which is responsible for specific mRNA codon recognition, and the 3' end, to which the tRNAs corresponding amino acid is attached (by aminoacyl-tRNA synthetases). tRNAs cope with the degeneracy of the genetic code in two manners: having more than one tRNA (with a specific anti-codon) for a particular amino acid; and 'wobble' base-pairing, i.e. permitting non-standard base-pairing at the 3rd anti-codon position. The record is from Rfam. Lineage: Eukaryota; Fungi; Ascomycota; Leotiomycetes; Thelebolales; Thelebolaceae.